This is a long non-coding RNA of Astatotilapia calliptera (eastern happy), 1767 nucleotides long. The record is from Ensembl. NCBI's taxonomy places the organism in Eukaryota, Metazoa, Chordata, Actinopteri, Cichliformes, Cichlidae.
GUAUGAUAAGACAUAUGUCAUCCAGAUAUGGGGCAGGCCUGGCAUAGAUGGCACUGUCUAUGUGAUGGCAUGCCACACCUGGCCCGAUUGUAGUUUGGUUUAUGUGGCGCAGGCCCAUAGAAAGCAGGUCUGGCCCGGAUCUGGCAUCAAGCUGGCUCUUCUGACUGACCAAUGUCAGGGCAGGGUGUAUGUCAACGAGAUGUGGGCCAUGCAUGAAGUUUUUUUUUUUUUUUAAUGUAUUUCAUUUAAUGUUUAACGUUUUAAUGUUUUCACUGUUAUAUUGUUUUCUUAUUUAUGGAUAUAUUUGUGCUGUGAUUGGGGGUCUGGCAAUGACGGCGCUAUUUAUGUUCCUAUUUUAGUUAGAAGACCCAAAUGCCAUGGUGCAACACUAUACUGCUAUGGUAGCCAACGUUUCAAAUGCAGGUUUGACAGGUUUGUGAGUGUACAUUUUAUCUAAAACCUAGCAACGGUUUACUCAUUUUUGUCAGCCGGUGGCUGUAGCUCUGGAGGUAGAGCGGCUUCUUGACAGGUUGGAAGGUUAGUGGUUCGAUUCCUGGCUCGUCCAGUCUGCGUGUCGUGAAUGUGUAUGAAUGUAGUUAGGAAGCACUCAGGUUAGAGAAAGUGUGUGAUUGGGACAAUGUGGCAUGUUGUAUAGAGCACUUUAAUUAAUCUGGGACAGUAGAAAAGUGCUAUAUGAGAAUCAGUCCAUUCACUGUCUGAACAGUUACUUUGCACUAUUAUGUUCUGGCACAUGUUGUUAUUACUUGAUUAAGGUACACAUUAGGUUGACAUCUGGGGCCAGAGCUGAAACUGUUCUGGGCCAGCACAGGACCACCUGUGUGUCUGCAACUGGCCCGUGGCUGCACACAAUUUACACAUGACCCACAUACCACAAAGAAUGACGCCCCUUUGGUGGCCCAGAUUAGGUUUGCUUUUUUUUUUUUUUUUGCCUGUCCCGUUUGGCUCUUUUGCCAUCAGAAUUAUUGUCUAAAGGCAAAGAAAGAUGCCCAACGGAUUUACUUUACCAAAUUGACCAUCCCAGCCUUGCCGUAAUGGUCCAUUUGAUUCACCUUUUAUUGUUUAUUUUAUUUUCACUUGCUGAAUACGGGACAGACUUGACUGGGGAAAGAAGGGGAGAAAGAAAGAGGGAAAGAGAAACAGCUGAGAAGAGGGACGGGGAAAAAGGACAAAAAACAAAAGAAAAAGAAAAUGCAUCUAUCGAUCACCUGGAUCACCUGUUGAGAAAGAAAAAAGAAAACAAGCAGAAGAGAACAAGAGUAAUAGAAUAAACAACAUCACAAUGAUAUAUGGGAAUAUGACAGUAAAUACUAAAUAUUAAACAUUAUUGUGCAGCACAUAAGAUCAACAGAACACAGUGUGCUUUGAGGUAGGAGCCAAAAAGGGUGUAGUUUGUGGGUGUGAUCACCCAUGUGUACACCUGUGAGCAUGGACGCGCUUGUUUUUUUAAAAGGUUCCUUCAUGUAAUGAUCUGCUAGAGGGUGUGGGGGGCCACAGCCCCGUCCUCCAGGGCAUGAAGCAGGUAUGGAGGAGAUCAAAACUCCAGACAUCCAGAGGCCCCCAGAACACAAGAGACCAAGGAAGACCAACAGAGGGGCAGCCGCGCCACUGUCCCAGAAAGAGCUGAGGAGAGUCCCAGAUGAGGGCUCACUCAGCAGCCGCGGAGCAGAAGCCAGGGGGACCAGCUGUGCCUGAGUGACCGAGCCCCAGGCCGAGAGGCCGGGGGCACCCCACCUCCGAAGUGGCCCG